GCGACGCCGCGUGGGGGAUGACGGCCUUCGGGUUGUAAACCUCUUUCGCCAGGGACGAAGCUUUUGUGACGGUACCUGGAGAAGAAGCACCGGCCAACUACGUGCCAGCAGCCGCGGUAACACGUAGGGUGCGAGCGUUGUCCGGAAUUAUUGGGCGUAAAGAGCUCGUAGGCGGUGUGUCGCGUCGGCCGUGAAAACCUGGGGCUUAACUCUGGGCGUGCGGUCGAUACGGGCAUCACUUGAGUUCGGCAGGGGAGACUGGAAUUCCUGGUGUAGCGGUGAAAUGCGCAGAUAUCAGGAGGAACACCGGUGGCGAAGGCGGGUCUCUGGGCCGAUACUGACGCUGAGGAGCGAAAGCGUGGGGAGCGAACAGGAUUAGAUACCCUGGUAGUCCACGCCGUAAACGUUGGGCGCUAGGUGUGGGGACCAUUCCACGGUUUCUGUGCCGCAGCUAACGCAUUAAGCGCCCCGCCUGGGGAGUACGGCCGCAAGGCUAAAACUCAAAGGAAUUGACGG
This 516-nucleotide ribosomal RNA is filed under the name uncultured bacterium. RNAcentral describes it as "bacterial SSU rRNA". It matches the Rfam family "Bacterial small subunit ribosomal RNA", at positions 391 to 916 of the family's 1533-position model. The record is from RNAcentral.